This 302-nucleotide ribosomal RNA is filed under the name Clostridium sp. AF22-10. RNAcentral describes it as "partial 23S ribosomal RNA". It matches the Rfam family "Bacterial large subunit ribosomal RNA", at positions 2624 to 2925 of the family's 2925-position model. The record is from RNAcentral. RNAcentral also lists the same sequence under 1 other name. Lineage: Bacteria; Bacillati; Bacillota; Clostridia; Eubacteriales; Clostridiaceae.
AGACAGUUCGGUCCCUAUCCGGCGCGGGCGUAGGAUAUUUGAGAGGAGCUGCCCUUAGUACGAGAGGACCGGGGUGGACUGGCCUCUGGUGUAUCUGUUGAGCCAUCAGGCUCAUGGCAGAGUAGCCAAGCCGGGACGGGAUAAACGCUGAAGGCAUCUAAGCGUGAAGCCCCCCUCAAGAUGAGAUAUCCCAUACGCAAGUAGUAAGACCCCUUGAAGACGACGAGGUAGAUAGGGCAGAGGUGGAAGCGUAGUAAUACGUGAAGCUGACUGUUACUAAUCGGUCGAGGGCUUAACCAAAA